RNAcentral lists this ribosomal RNA (255 nucleotides) under uncultured bacterium. RNAcentral describes it as "partial 16S ribosomal RNA". It matches the Rfam family "Archaeal small subunit ribosomal RNA", at positions 474 to 727 of the family's 1478-position model. The record is from RNAcentral.
UACCAGCACCCCCGAGUGGUCGGGACGAUUAUUGGGCCUAAAGCAUCCGUAGCCGGUUCUGCAAGUCCCCCGUUAAAUCCAGCUGCUCAACAGAUGGGCCGCGGAGGAUACUACAGAGCUAGGAGGCAGGAGAGGCAAGCGGUACUCAGUGGGUAGGGGUAAAAUCCGUUGAUCCAUUGAAGACCACCAGUGGCGAAGGCGGCUUGCCAGAACGCGCUCGACGGUGAGGGAUGAAAGCUGGGGGGAGCAAACCGG